UAAUACUGCAACGAUCUGCCCCGCGCGGCCGAUAACCGCGGGAAACUGCGGCUAAUAGCGCGGGUUGAGACGCAGCCCUAUCAGCUCGUUGGCGGUGUAACGGACCCCCAAGGCGGCGACGGGUGACGGGGGGUCGGGGCCCGACUCCGGAGAGGGAGCCUGAGAGAUGGCUCCCACGUCCAAGGACGGCAGCAGGCGCGGAAAUUGCCCACUCCCGCGCGGGGAGGCAGUUACGAGACGUGGCGGAAGGGCGCCCCGCAAAGCCGGGCGCGAAGGCGAUUGGAGGGCAAGCUCGGUGCCUGCAGCCGCGGUAAUACCGACUCCAAGAGUGUCUAUGGUGGAUGCUGCAGUUAAAACGUCCGUAGUCGGCUCGGCAACGAAGACGCGCGGAUCGAGCGCGCGCGCGUUGCCGGACGCGGCGGAGCGGGCAGGGGGCGCGGUAUGCGCGGGCGAGAGAUGAAACGCCAGGACCCCGCGCGGACCGACGGCGGCGAAGGCGGCGCCCCGGGACGCGUCUGCGGAUCAAGGACGAAGGCCGGAGGAUCGAAAGUGAUUAGAGACCGCUGUAGUUCCGGCAGUAAACGAUGCCGACAGCGCGGCGGNGAUGCCGCCGCGCGGGGGAAACCUUAGUGUGCGGGCUCUGGGGAUAGUAUGCUCGCAAGCGUGAAAAUUAAACGAAAUUGACGGAGCUACACCACAAGGAGUGGAUUGUGCGGCUUAAUUUGACUCAACGCGGGGCAGCUUACCAGGGCCGCGCGCGCCCGAGACCGCGCGCGCGAGGCGCGCAGGAGUGGUGCAUGGUCGUUGCAAGCCGAUGGCGCGAGCUUAGGCUUAAGUGCCGGAAUGGGCGAGAUCCGCGCGACGGGUGCGCGCCGCACAGGCGGGAGCGGGCGAUAACAGAUCAGUGAUGCCCUCAGAUGCCCUGGGCCGCACGCGCAAUACACUCCCCGCGCGCGGCGCAGACGGGUCGCGGGGAGCGGGACCGGCGCCUGCAAGGGCGCCGCGAACGAGGAAUUCCUAGUAACGGCGGCUCACCAGGCCGCGGUGAAUGUGUCCCUGUAGCUUGUACACACCGCCCGUC
Molecule: ribosomal RNA, 1081 nt
Filed under: Pancytospora philotis
Lineage: Eukaryota; Fungi; Microsporidia
Description: SSU rRNA
Rfam family: Microsporidia small subunit ribosomal RNA
Source: RNAcentral